GAUAAACGCUGGCGGCGUGCUUAACACAUGCAAGUCGAACGAAGUUUUUCCUUCGGGAGCAACUUAGCGGCGGACGGGUGAGUAACGCGUGGGUAACCUGCCCUGUACAGGGGGACAACAGCUGUAAACGGCUGCUAAUACCGCAUAAGCCCUUAGCACUGCAUGGUGCAUAGGGAAAAGGAGCAAUCCGGUACAGGAUGGACCCGCGUCUGAUUAGCCAGUUGGCAGGGUAACGGCCUACCAAAGCGACGAUCAGUAGCCGAUCUGAGAGGAUGUACGGCCACAUUGGGACUGAGACACGGCCCAGACUCCUACGGGAGGCAGCAGUGGGGAAUAUUGCACAAUGGAGGAAACUCUGAUGCAGCGACGCCGCGUGAGUGAAGAAGUAUUUCGGUAUGUAAAGCUCUAUCAGCAGGGAAGAAAAUGACGGUACCUGACUAAGAAGCACCGGCUAAAUACGUG
RNAcentral lists this ribosomal RNA (462 nucleotides) under uncultured bacterium. RNAcentral describes it as "partial 16S ribosomal RNA". It matches the Rfam family "Bacterial small subunit ribosomal RNA", at positions 28 to 507 of the family's 1533-position model. The record is from RNAcentral.